CUUAAAAGGUCCUGCCGGUGUCUUCAGCAUUCUGCCGAGUGGCAGCAUUAUUUUAGUUCUGUGGCUGCCGCUGCUCGUCCUGUCCCCUCCACUCCCAUUGCUGUUCUGCCUGGUUAAGGAUUUGCUUUGGAUACUUUUUGAGUUGCACCCCUCUGUCCUGUUGGUUUCAACGAUUUUAACGAUUUUCAGUUUUGCGUGUGGCGGGGAGCCUGGAGUCUGAACUUAUCAGCCAGUCAGGAUGUCUGCAUCGUUCCAUGUGAAACAACACCACCACCACCACAGUGACAAGAAGCAGCAGCGUGAGAGCAUCAGCCAUCACAGCUCUCGCUCCUCUUUUAGUCAGCUGUCAUAUGCUGCCCACAAGAGAAUCCAGCACAGCACCAUAGGAGUGCAGAAGAGUUCUGUCGAAUUAGAGAAGAGGUCGGAGUUCAUACCUAGCCAGCUGCUGCCGCCGAGAGUCAAGAAGUACCUGGCUAUGGACCCUGACACCAACGAUGUCAUUGGAUACAUAGUUCCUGUCUUCAGGACCAGGUGGGGGACUGGGAUGUAACAUGGUAACAUUGACAUGUUUCAGAUAGACAUUUACACUGACCCCCAGUCUUCAUGGAGG
This 610-nucleotide long non-coding RNA is filed under the name Salmo salar (Atlantic salmon). RNAcentral describes it as "lncRNA (ENSSSAG00000093493.1)". Lineage: Eukaryota; Metazoa; Chordata; Actinopteri; Salmoniformes; Salmonidae. The record is from RNAcentral.